GGACGUCCUCCGCUGGGGGAGGGGCGGGGCGGGGAGCGGGGGGCGGGCGGGGGGCGUGGUCCUGGGCGGCGGCCGGGAUGCAGGAUGGGAGGAGGCGGCGAUGCGGGAUGCGGGGCGCGCGAUGGCCCAGACCAGCCCAGCGGCCCCCGGGCUUGCGGACGGAGGAUGAUCGGGCUGCCGCGCAAGAAGCUGCAGAAACUGUUUCUCAGAAAGGUUACGAGGAGGGGCUCAUAACAUUUGGGAGCUGGAAGAGGUCUUAGAAAUCACACAGCCCAUACACUUCAUUUUCUAGAUGAAGAGACUGAGGGCCUGAGAAGUUGAAAUGCCUUGCCCAGGAUCACAGGGCCACCGUCCCCUGCCCUGAUCACCCCAGGGCCAGGUACCGACAGCUGGCGACAGCCCCGGGAAAGGUUCAGACUAGCCUGUGCUGAGCUUGCUCACCCAGCCGUGCCUGUUCCUUCGUGUGGAAACUGCAGUAAAGGCUCGCGUCCCCGCCCUCCUCCCGCCUCCUGACUGGCCGGCCUCCCUCCGUGGUCCUCCCCACACAGGGAGCCGGGGCCCUCCCUCCCUCUUAGGAGCUGUGGGUGACAAACCGUCUUCUCAGUGCUCCUUGCCUCCUGAUCCACCGGCCUGGCCAUACCUAAAUAAUAAUAAUGGAACCUGAACUGUGAAACACGGUUAGUUGUUUGUGACACUUUCAGCACGUAUGCUGUGGGCAAUGAGACGGUAGUAGGACCGAGUUCCUGUCAUUGAGAAACCGUACAGUCGCACGAGUGACUGCGAUGAAAGCAGAGCCCACACAGAUCGUGCGUUAAGGAGAGGCUGCGGCGCCGCGUGCCCUGCCCUGCGAGGGGCUGCGGUAGCUGAGGGCUGCGGGUCUGGGGGGCGCAUUGCCGGUGAAGUGCGCCGCUGCGCAGAGGCGUCUCCCGCAAGCUGGCUUCCUCAUCGUCGUGCGCCGGAUCACUAGGUUUCCGACGCCGAUCUGUCUUAAAAUUUCAGAGAAGUGAGCAUCUCCCAUCUUUUCACUGUUAACCCUCGAUAGCCCACGGGCAGAUCAGUCCUGGAUACUUUCCCAGUUUCGUCGACAUUGAGGACUGGUUCACACUCACACCGCCUGUAACAAUAACAGGAGCUUCGUGAUAAUCACGCAUCACGCUAACAGUCUACUGACUACACCCACGGAAUAAACUUCAGGAUUGGGCCCUGUGUAUCAGAGCAAGGUGCAGCUGGCGCAUGGAAGUACUUAGCUCCCGGCAGAAUACGUGAGGCUUGCCAUGAGGAUCAGGGAUGGGGCCUCGGCAGCCUCCCAAGUAAACCAUCCCCAAGAGCAUCGGUCCCUCUGGCCCAGAGUUCACCAAGACAUGAACCAACAGCAGCACAAAACUGUGGGGAGGAUAUGGUGGGGGGGGCGGUAAUCUCAACAGAUAGUAAACGCUCUCCAAGGCCAAGAAUCAUCCUCUUCUGCGAUAACCUUAUCAGUCGCUAUGGAUCUACCAUUCUGAGUUAAUUUAAAUACUUAAUAACUCAUCAAUAUUCUAUACCAGUGUCAUCUUUUGAAGUAACUCUCUCCCUACAGUUUUGCU
Physeter macrocephalus (sperm whale) is the source of this 1583-nucleotide long non-coding RNA. RefSeq lists it as uncharacterized. The record is from RefSeq and is a predicted model, not a curated record. The transcript has 4 exons. Lineage: Eukaryota; Metazoa; Chordata; Mammalia; Artiodactyla; Physeteridae.